GCCUGUAGCUCAGGUGGUUAGAGCGCACGCCUGAUAAGCGUGAGGUCGUUGGUUCAAAUCCAAUCAGGCC
RNAcentral lists this transfer RNA (70 nucleotides) under marine eukaryotic metagenome. It matches the Rfam family "tRNA". From Rfam's summary of the family: Transfer RNA (tRNA) molecules are approximately 80 nucleotides in length. Their secondary structure includes four short double-helical elements and three loops (D, anti-codon, and T loops). The record is from RNAcentral.